AUGGAUAAUUGCAUCGGUGCAAUAGAUGGGACACACAUACAAGUUGUGGUACCAGUUGCCACUGCUACCCAGCAUAGGAAUAGACAUAAGGAGAAGAGUCAGAAUGUGAUAUGUGUGUGUGACUUUGAUAUGAGAUUCACAUUUGUCCUAGUUGGUUGGCCAGGAUCAGUGCAUGACAUGAGGGUCUUCAAUGAUGCAGGAUCCAGAUUUCGUGACAAGUUUCCAAAACCUCCACCUAAUAAGUUUUAUCUUGUGGACUCAGGGUAUCCAAAUAGACCGGGUUAUCUUGCACCAUACAAGGGUUUAACCUAUCAUUUCCAGGAGUACCGUGAUGGCACAAUGCCUAGAGGAAAAAAGGAACACUACAAUUUCACCCAUUCUUCACUUAGAAAUGUCAUCGAGAGGUGUUUUGGAGUCUUGAAGAACAAGUGGAGGAUUUUGUUUCAUUUGCCUAGUUAUCCACAGCCGAAACAAAGCAAAAUCAUUAUGAAAAUUAUGUACCAUUGUCUAUGCCAACGACCACAACAAAUGAUUCAACAAAUGAGACGGACAGUGCUGCUAUGA
This 564-nucleotide ribosomal RNA is filed under the name Triticum aestivum (bread wheat). RNAcentral's name for it is "partial small subunit ribosomal RNA". The record is from RNAcentral. Lineage: Eukaryota; Viridiplantae; Streptophyta; Magnoliopsida; Poales; Poaceae.